Molecule: long non-coding RNA, 437 nt
Filed under: Homo sapiens (human)
Lineage: Eukaryota; Metazoa; Chordata; Mammalia; Primates; Hominidae
Description: non-protein coding PSMG3-AS1:20
Source: RNAcentral
GGGAUCCUUCUCAGGCAGCGGCAGAUGAUGGAUUGCACGUGGACACUGCCUGGGAUGCGUGCGACUUGGCAGCCUGCCCCUUUCCUGCCCUGGGAUCAGACGCCUUCAAUGUCGGAGCCCAGACGGGGCAAGGCGAGGAGGAGCCCGGGGCGAAGACGCCACCCACAUUCCUCCUUCCCGCAGGCUUCUUCUCCUUCUAGCCCUUCCAGGAGAGAAACCAUCCCACAAGUCCAGAGUAGUGGCGUCCCCGGGGCCAUGUCUCCUGAGCAAACACUGUUUUCUAGGAGUCCGAGGGGCCUCAGCCAUCUAGGUCAAUCCCUUUGCAGAACGGUGAAGGAAUCUGAAGCCCAGAGAGGGAAAACAAUGCCUCCUGGGUCACACAGCCCAUCAGGGGCAGGGCAGGGACGAACGGCGAGAAAAGGACCAGCGCGAGAGGA